GCAUAUCAUAAGCGGAGGAAAAGAAACCAACAGGGAUUGCCCCAGUAACGGCGAGUGAAGCGGCAACAGCUCAAAUUUGAAAUCUGGCCCCAGGCCCGAGUUGUAAUUUGCAGAGGAUGCUUCGGGCGCGGUGCCUUCCAAGUCCCCUGGAACGGGGCGCCAUGGAGGGUGAGAGCCCCGUAUGGUCGGACGCCAAGCCUAUGUGAAGCUCCUUCGACGAGUCGAGUAGUUUGGGAAUGCUGCUCUAAAUGGGAGGUAGACCCCUUCUAAAGCUAAAUACCGGCUAGAGACCGAUAGCGCACAAGUAGAGUGAUCGAAAGAUGAAAAGAACUUUGAAAAGAGGGUUAAACAGCACGUGAAAUUGUUAAAAGGGAAGCGCUUGUGACCAGACUUGCGCCGGGGCGAUCAUCUGGCGUUCUCGCCGGUGCACUCGCCCCGGCCCAGGCCAGCGUCGGUUCGGGAGGGGGGACAAGGACGUUGGGGAUGUGGCUCCCCCGGGAGUGUUAUAGCCCAGCGUGUCAUGCCCCCGCCCGGACCGAGGUUCGCGCUCUGCAAGGACGCUGGCGUAAUGGUCAUCAGCGGCCCGUCUUGAAACACGGACCAAGGAGUCGAGGUUCUGCGCGAGUGUUUGGGUGCCAAACCCGCACGCGUAAUGAAAGUGAACGUAGGUGGGAGCCUCGGCGCACCACCGACCGAUCCUGAUGUUUUCGGAUGGAUUUGAGUACGAGCGUUGGGCCUCGGACCCGAAAGAUGGUGAACUAUGCUUGGAUAGGGUGAAGCCAGAGGAAACUCUGGUGGAGGCUCGCAGCGGUUCUGACGUGCAAAUCGAUCGUCAAAUCUGAGCAUGGGGGCGAAAGACUAAUCGAACCAUCUAGUAGCUGGUUACCGCCGAAG
This 894-nucleotide ribosomal RNA is filed under the name Phialophora phaeophora. RNAcentral's name for it is "LSU rRNA". It matches the Rfam family "Eukaryotic large subunit ribosomal RNA", at positions 38 to 966 of the family's 3401-position model. Lineage: Eukaryota; Fungi; Ascomycota; Eurotiomycetes; Chaetothyriales; Herpotrichiellaceae. The record is from RNAcentral.